Molecule: microRNA precursor, 67 nt
Filed under: Bombyx mori (domestic silkworm)
Lineage: Eukaryota; Metazoa; Arthropoda; Insecta; Lepidoptera; Bombycidae
Description: mir-2774 microRNA precursor family
Rfam family: mir-2774 microRNA precursor family
Source: Rfam by way of RNAcentral
ACAACGCGCGGAUCGUCGGUCUAUCGAGCAAUUUCAGCCGCUCGGUGGAAGAUCUUACCUUUGUUUU